This 433-nucleotide ribosomal RNA is filed under the name uncultured bacterium. RNAcentral's name for it is "partial 16S ribosomal RNA". It matches the Rfam family "Bacterial small subunit ribosomal RNA", at positions 29 to 507 of the family's 1533-position model. The record is from RNAcentral.
AGCGAACGCUGGCGGCAGGCCUAACACAUGCAAGUCGAACGAACUCUUCGGAGUUAGUGGCGGACGGGUGAGUAACACGUGGGAACGUGCCUUUUGGUUCGGAAUAACUCAGGGAAACUUGUGCUAAUACCGAAUGUGCCCUUCGGGGGAAAGAUUUAUCGCCAUUAGAGCGGCCCGCGUCUGAUUAGCUAGUUGGUGAGGUAACGGCUCACCAAGGCGACGAUCAGUAGCUGGCCUGAGAGGAUGACCAGCCACACUGGGACUGAGACACGGCCCAGACUCCUACGGGAGGCAGCAGUGGGGAAUCUUGCGCAAUGGGCGAAAGCCUGACGCAGCCAUGCCGCGUGAAUGAUGAAGGUCUUAGGAUUGUAAAAUUCUUUCACCGGGGACGAUAAUGACGGUACCCGGAGAAGAAGCCCCGGCUAACUUCGUG